This 773-nucleotide ribosomal RNA is filed under the name uncultured Neocallimastigales. RNAcentral's name for it is "partial large subunit ribosomal RNA". It matches the Rfam family "Eukaryotic large subunit ribosomal RNA", at positions 26 to 642 of the family's 3401-position model. The record is from RNAcentral. Lineage: Eukaryota; Fungi; Neocallimastigomycota; Neocallimastigomycetes; Neocallimastigales.
CGCAUCUGUGCAUGCAGCAUAUCAAUAAGCGGAGGAAAAGAAACUAACAAGGAUUCCCUAGUAACGGCGAGUGAAGCGGGAAGAGCUCAAAUUUGAAAUCUUCAAGGUUUUACCUUGACGAAUUGUAGUUUAAAGAAGUGUUUUCUGCUGAGGUUUUGGUAAAAGUUCUUUGGAAUAGGACAUCAUAGAGGGUGAGAAUCCCGUAUUUGACCUUUACUUUCAACUUUGUGAUACACUUUCAAAGAGUCGGAUUGUUUGGGAAUGCAGUCCAAAAUGGGUGGUAAAUUUCAUCUAAAGCUAAAUAUUGGCGAGAGACCGAUAGCGAACAAGUACCGUGAGGGAAAGAUGAAAAGAACUUUGAAAAGAGAGUUAAACAGUACGUGAAAUUGUCAAAAGGGAAGCGUUUGACACCAGUGUUGUUUUUCUGAAAAUCAAUUAAAGAACUGUUUAUGCUAAGUUGUUUAGACUUUAUCAGCUAACUGUUUAGUUUUGAGCUUUUCUUUAAUGCACUUUUCAGUUAACAAGUCAACAUCAAUUUCUUUUGCUGUAAAAAAGCUUGAGGAAGGUGGCUUGAGAUUCGUCUUAAGUGUUUAUAGCCUCUUGCCUAUGCAGUCGGAGAGAUUGAGGUCUGCAGCGUAGAUCCUUCGGGGCUAAAUGCAUUUGUGCUAAGUUAUAGCAUUUUAUAGACAACUUGUUGACUAUGAUUUGUCUUGUAGCUUACUCGCUUAUGUUAUUUUACCUACGCUUAGGAUGUUGAUAGUCACAGCGUGUAC